RNAcentral lists this ribosomal RNA (433 nucleotides) under uncultured bacterium. Its description in RNAcentral is "partial 16S ribosomal RNA". It matches the Rfam family "Bacterial small subunit ribosomal RNA", at positions 29 to 507 of the family's 1533-position model. The record is from RNAcentral.
AACGAACGCUGGCGGCAUGCCUAACACAUGCAAGUCGAACGAGACCUUCGGGUCUAGUGGCGCACGGGUGCGUAACGCGUGGGAACCUGCCCUUAGGUUCGGCAUACCUCCCCGAAAGGGGUGCUAAUACCGGAUAAUGUCUUCGGACCAAAGAUUUCUCGCCUUUGGAUGGGCCCGCGUUGGAUUAGCUAGUUGGUAGGGUAAAAGCCUACCAAGGCGACGAUCCAUAGCUGGUCUGAGAGGAUGAUCAGCCACACUGGGACUGAGACACGGCCCAGACUCCUACGGGAGGCAGCAGUGGGGAAUAUUGGACAAUGGGCGAAAGCCUGAUCCAGCAAUGCCGCGUGAGUGAUGAAGGCCUUAGGGUUGUAAAGCUCUUUUACCCGGGAUGAUAAUGACAGUACCGGGAGAAUAAGCUCCGGCUAACUCCGUG